RNAcentral lists this ribosomal RNA (488 nucleotides) under uncultured bacterium. RNAcentral describes it as "bacterial SSU rRNA". It matches the Rfam family "Bacterial small subunit ribosomal RNA", at positions 28 to 526 of the family's 1533-position model. The record is from RNAcentral.
GAUGAACGCUGGCGGCGUGCCUAACACAUGCAAGUCGAACGGAGUUACGAGAGCUUGCUUUUGUAACUUAGUGGCGGACGGGUGAGUAAUGUAUGAGCAACCUGCCUUUCAGAGGGGGACAACAGUUGGAAACGACUGCUAAUACCGCAUAAUGUAUUUUGGGGGCAUCCCCGGGAUACCAAAGGAGCAAUCCGCUGAAAGAUGGGCUCAUAUCUGAUUAGCUAGUUGGUGGGGUAACGGCCUACCAAGGCUGCGAUCAGUAGCCGGACUGAGAGGUUGAACGGCCACAUUGGGACUGAGAUACGGCCCAGACUCCUACGGGAGGCAGCAGUGGGGAAUAUUGGGCAAUGGGCGAAAGCCUGACCCAGCAACGCCGCGUGAAGGAAGAAGGUCUUCGGAUUGUAAACUUCUUUUAUGAGGGACGAAGGACGUGACGGUACCUCAUGAAUAAGCCACGGCUAACUACGUGCCAGCCGCCGCCGUAAAAC